AUGAACGCUGGCGGCGUGCCUAAUACAUGCAAGUCGAGCGAACGGACGAGAAGCUUGCUUCUCUGAUGUUAGCGGCGGACGGGUGAGUAACACGUGGAUAACCUACCUAUAAGACUGGGAUAACUUCGGGAAACCGGAGCUAAUACCGGAUAAUAUUUUGAACCGCAUGGUUCAAAAGUGAAAGACGGUCUUGCUGUCACUUAUAGAUGGAUCCGCGCUGCAUUAGCUAGUUGGUAAGGUAACGGCUUACCAAGGCAACGAUGCAUAGCCGACCUGAGAGGGUGAUCGGCCACACUGGAACUGAGACACGGUCCAGACUCCUACGGAAGGCAGCAGUAGGGAAUCUGCCGCAAUGGGCGAAAGCCUGACGGAGCAACGCCGCGUGAGUGAUGAAGGUCUUCGGAUCGUAAAACUCUGUUAUUGGGGAAGAACAUAUGUGUAAGUAACUGUGCACAUCUUGACGGUACCUAAUCAGAAAGCCACGGCUAACUACGUG
RNAcentral lists this ribosomal RNA (496 nucleotides) under uncultured bacterium. RNAcentral's name for it is "partial 16S ribosomal RNA". It matches the Rfam family "Bacterial small subunit ribosomal RNA", at positions 29 to 507 of the family's 1533-position model. The record is from RNAcentral.